GGCGUCUUUGGCGUCCGAGUUGUAAUUUGCAGAGGGCGCUUUGGCAUUGGCAGCGGUCCAAGUUCCUUGGAACAGGACGUCACAGAGGGUGAGAAUCCCGUACGUGGUCGCUAGCCUUUACCGUGUAAAGCCCCUUCGACGAGUCGAGUUGUUUGGGAAUGCAGCUCUAAAUGGGAGGUAAAUUUCUUCUAAAGCUAAAUACUGGCCAGAGACCGAUAGCGCACAAGUAGAGUGAUCGAAAGAUGAAAAGCACUUUGGAAAGAGAGUUAAAAAGCACGUGAAAUUGUUGAAAGGGAAGCGCUUGCAGCCAGACUUGCCUGUAGUUGCUCAUCCGGGUUUUUACCCGGUGCACUCUUCUAUAGGCAGGCCAGCAUCAGUUUGGGCGGUUGGAUAAAGGUCUCUGUCAUGUACCUCUCUUCGGGGAGAACUUAUAGGGGAGACGACAUGCAACCAGCCUGGACUGAGGUCCGCGCAUCUGCUAGGAUGCUGGCGUAAUGGCUGUAAGCGGCCCGUCUUGAAACACGGACCAAGGAGUCUAACAUCUAUGCGAGUGUUUGGGUGUCAAGCCCGAGCGCGUAAUGAAAGUGAACGGAGGUGGGAACCUUUCGGGGUGCACCAUCGACCGAUCCUGAUGUCUUCGGAUGGAUUUGAGUAAGAGCAUAGCUGUUGGGACCCGAAAGAUGGUGAACUAUGCUUGAAUAGGGUGAAGCCAGAGGAAACUCUGGUGGAGGCUCGCAGCGGUUCUGACGUGCAAAUCGAUCGUCAAAUUUGGGCAUAGGGGCGAAAGACUAAUCGAACUAUCUAGUAGCUGGUUCCUGCCGAAGUUUCCCUCAGGAUAGCAGUAACGUUUUCAGUUUUAUGAGGUAAAGCGAAUGAUUAGAGGCCUGGGGGUUGAAACAACCUU
RNAcentral lists this ribosomal RNA (904 nucleotides) under Ascochyta clinopodiicola. RNAcentral's name for it is "partial large subunit ribosomal RNA". It matches the Rfam family "Eukaryotic large subunit ribosomal RNA", at positions 124 to 1048 of the family's 3401-position model. Lineage: Eukaryota; Fungi; Ascomycota; Dothideomycetes; Pleosporales; Didymellaceae. The record is from RNAcentral.